UACGUAGGGUGCAAGCGUUAAUCGGAAUUACUGGGCGUAAAGCGUGCGCAGGCGGUUUUGUAAGUCUGUCGUGAAAGCCCCGGGCUUAACCUGGGAACUGCGUUUGAAACUGGGAGACUUGAGUGUGGCAGAGGGGGGUGGAAUUCCACGUGUAGCAGUGAAAUGCGUAGAUAUGUGGAGGAACACCAAUGGCGAAGGCAGCCCCCUGGGUCAACACUGACGCUCAUGCACGAAAGCGUGGGGAGCAAACAGG
RNAcentral lists this ribosomal RNA (253 nucleotides) under uncultured bacterium. RNAcentral's name for it is "partial 16S ribosomal RNA". It matches the Rfam family "Bacterial small subunit ribosomal RNA", at positions 524 to 776 of the family's 1533-position model. The record is from RNAcentral.